Molecule: ribosomal RNA, 864 nt
Filed under: uncultured archaeon
Lineage: Archaea
Description: bacterial SSU rRNA
Rfam family: Archaeal small subunit ribosomal RNA
Source: RNAcentral
UGAUACUAAGCCAUGCGAGUCAUUGCAGCAAUGCAAGGCAGACGGCUCAGUAACGCGUAGUCAACCUACCCUAUGGACGGGAAUAACCUCGGGAAACUGAGUAUAAUGCCCGAUAGAACACUAUUCCUGGAAUGGUUUGUGUUCCAAAUGAUUUAUCGCCGUAGGAUGGGACUGCGGCCUAUCAGUUUGUUGGUGAGGUAAUGGCCCACCAAGACUAUUACAGGUACGGGCUCUGAGAGGAGUAGCCCGGAGAUGGGUACUGAGACACGGACCCAGGCCCUAUGGGGCGCAGCAGGCGAGAAAACUUUGCAAUGUGCGAAAGCACGACAAGGUUAAUCCGAGUGGUUUGUGCUAAACGAACCUUUUGACAGUCCUAGAAACACUGUUGAAUAAGGGGUGGGCAAGUUCUGGUGUCAGCCGCCGCGGUAAAACCAGCACCUCAAGUGGUCAGGAUGAUUAUUGGGCCUAAAGCAUCCGUAGCCGGCUCUGUAAGUUUUCGGUUAAAUCUGUACGCUCAACGUACAGGCUGCCGGGAAUACUGCAGAGCUAGGGAGUGGGAGAGGUAGGCGGUACUCGGUAGGAAGGGGUAAAAUCCUUUGAUCUAUUGAUGACCACCUGUGGCGAAGGCGGUCUACCAGAACACGUCCGACGGUGAGGGAUGAAAGCUGGGGGAGCAAACCGGAUUAGAUACCCGGGUAGUCCCAGCUGUAAACUAUGCAAACUCAGUGAUGCAUUGGCUUGUGGCCAAUGCAGUGCUGCAGGGAAGCCGUUAAGUUUGCCGCCUGGGAAGUACGUACGCAAGUAUGAAACUUAAAGGAAUUGGCGGGGGAGCACCACAAGGGGUGAAGCCUGCGGUUCAAUUGG